RNAcentral lists this ribosomal RNA (1059 nucleotides) under marine bacterium AG15_010. RNAcentral describes it as "bacterial SSU rRNA". It matches the Rfam family "Bacterial small subunit ribosomal RNA", at positions 57 to 1129 of the family's 1533-position model. The record is from RNAcentral.
GCAGUCGACGAUGAAGCCCAGCUUGCUGGGUGGAUUAGUGGCGAACGGGUGAGUAAUUCGUGAGUAACCUGCCCUUAACUCUGGGAUAAGCCUGGGAAACUGGGUCUAAUACCGGAUAGGAGCGUCCACCGCAUGGUGGGUGUUGGAAAGAUUUAUCGGUUUUGGAUGGACUCGCGGCCUAUCAGCUUGUUGGUGAGGUAAUGGCUCACCAAGGCGACGACGGGUAGCCGGCCUGAGAGGGUGACCGGCCACACUGGGACUGAGACACGGCCCAGACUCCUACGGGAGGCAGCAGUGGGGAAUAUUGCACAAUGGGCGCAAGCCUGAUGCAGCGACGCCGCGUGAGGGAUGACGGCCUUCGGGUUGUAAACCUCUUUCAGUAGGGAAGAAGCGAAAGUGACGGUACCUGCAGAAGAAGCACCGGCUAACUACGUGCCAGCAGCCGCGGUAAUACGUAGGGUGCGAGCGUUAUCCGGAAUUAUUGGGCGUAAAGAGCUCGUAGGCGGUUUGUCGCGUCUGUCGUGAAAGUCCGGGGCUUAACCCCGGAUCUGCGGUGGGUACGGGCAGACUAGAGUGCAGUAGGGGAGACUGGAAUUCCUGGUGUAGCGGUGGAAUGCGCAGAUAUCAGGAGGAACACCGAUGGCGAAGGCAGGUCUCUGGGCUGUAACUGACGCUGAGGAGCGAAAGCAUGGGGAGCGAACAGGAUUAGAUACCCUGGUAGUCCAUGCCGUAAACGUUGGGCACUAGGUGUGGGGACCAUUCCACGGUUUCCGCGCCGCAGCUAACGCAUUAAGUGCCCCGCCUGGGGAGUACGGCCGCAAGGCUAAAACUCAAAGGAAUUGACGGGGGCCCGCACAAGCGGCGGAGCAUGCGGAUUAAUUCGAUGCAACGCGAAGAACCUUACCAAGGCUUGACAUGUUCUCGAUCGCCGUAGAGAUACGGUUUCCCCUUUGGGGCGGGUUCACAGGUGGUGCAUGGUUGUCGUCAGCUCGUGUCGUGAGAUGUUGGGUUAAGUCCCGCAACGAGCGCAACCCUCGUUCCAUGUUGCCAGCACGUAAU